This 274-nucleotide ribosomal RNA is filed under the name uncultured bacterium. RNAcentral describes it as "partial 16S ribosomal RNA". It matches the Rfam family "Bacterial small subunit ribosomal RNA", at positions 523 to 796 of the family's 1533-position model. The record is from RNAcentral.
AUACGGAGGAUCCGAGCGUUAUCCGGAUUUACUGGGUUUAAAGGGUGCGUAGGCGGGAUAGUAAGUCAGUGGUGAAAGCCUGCAGCUUAACUGUAGAAUUGCCAUUGAUACUGCUAUCCUUGAGUAUGGUCGGAGUGGAUGGAAUUCGUCAUGUAGCGGUGAAAUGCUUAGAGAUGACGAGGAACACCAAUCGCGAAAGCAGUUCACUAGGCCAUAACUGACGCUGAGGCACGAAAGCGUGGGUAGCAAACAGGAUUAGAAACCCUAGUAGUCC